This is a long non-coding RNA of Oryza sativa Japonica Group (Japanese rice), 830 nucleotides long. RefSeq lists it as uncharacterized. The record is from RefSeq and is a predicted model, not a curated record. NCBI's taxonomy places the organism in Eukaryota, Viridiplantae, Streptophyta, Magnoliopsida, Poales, Poaceae.
UAGCCUUUCGCUUCAGAAGCCUCGCCGUAGAGUUCGAUUUCCCCAAGCGGCCCAGUGCGCGGCGAAAGAGGCGAUGCCUGCCGGCUGCCGCCGCCGUCGCCGGCGGCGGCGGCCAUCAUCCGGCCGGGCCCCCUUGGGAUACGCUUGCGGACGGUAGGCGCCGCACGGUGCUGGGGCUACUCGAUGCCCACGGGACCACGCGGUUGUCGCGGUGGCGGCGAGCGGCCUUCGGAACUCGGGGAGCGUCGCCGGCGGCCGUGGCUGGGCUUGCUGUACGGGGGGGAUUCGUCGAGAUCUCCGCUCUGCUCGCGCGGUGGCGCCGUUGGCGGUAUGGAUCCCGGCGCGUGCGUGUGCCUCACUGAUCCUCCAACGGCAACAAACACGAUCUUCAGUUGCGUCGGUAUCAUGGAACUUAACUUGAGCAUAACCUUGAAGACCCACAAGUGGAAUCACACAAAGGAUGAUCAAAGUGAGCUUCCAGUCCGCUAUCAUCGCUAUGACAAUUCCUGUGAUAAGUGUUGAGACGACCUGAACUGCCAAUGCAAGAUUGUCUCCAACUAAACGCCGGACAUUCAAAGCAUCUACUGAUAAUCUUGCACCAAGCGCUCCACUGUAGGAUGAAAUUUCAUCAUCAGUUCCCAAUGUGUAAAAUUCCUUGAUAUUUAGGAGGAAGAGAAAACAACCAAUAAAGAAUGGGCAACCAACCUGGAAUUCCUAGGAUCAUCAAACCAAGCAACUUCUUGGUGAAUAAUACUCCGGAAUGACAAGGCACGGACACGCUCUACAAGUUUACCUCCAGCUAUUCCAAACAUAAAGUACUCCACCGGUAU